AAGNUUAUACGGGAGAAACCUNNUAUCAUUCCCUCCCUCCGNNUCUCCCGCGUUCGAAGCUCGGUACCNUCCCCCCACAAAAUCACCCAUUCUUGUCUACCUACCCGGAUGCCUCGACGGUGCCACGCGCCCCUCUCCCACCUUAGAAUUAGCUCCUGCCACGCAAAGAUAUCCGUCUCCCUCCCGGUCCGCCCCCACUAUAUGACCAUUUUAAGAACCCUUUUAAAACGUCUCUAUCUCAGCAUANNAAUCAAAUCAUUUUAAAACUUUCAACAACGCAUCUCUUNUUNCCUUCAUCAAUAAAUAACUCAGCUAAAUUCUCUAAGUAAGGUGAGUUNNUAAAUUUCUCGCAUCAUCAAAUCUAUAAACUCUCAUUUCUCCCCCUGGUAUUCCGUGUGUCAUACUCGCUCUAGCGUAUUUUCAACCCUUCAAGUUCUUUUUGAGAGAUGGUUGACCGUCCCCUCCCCAUCAGACGGAGGGGGACGCGCCCGAAAAGCAGUGGCCAGGCCGCGCUUCCGGCACCUAGGCGAAUGGGACACACCAACCGUCUAAGGGACCGGCCGGUACUGCUGGCCUUGACUGGACUCUUUUGUCCGUUAAAUUUUUUCAGGUUGACCUCGGAUCAGGUAGGGAUACCCGCUGAACUUAAGCAUAUAAUAAGCGGAGGAAGGGGGUUUGGGUGGGGGGNUGGUAGGUUGGGGGUGGGUUUUAAGGGGUGGGAG
RNAcentral lists this ribosomal RNA (722 nucleotides) under Paraphyton cookei. RNAcentral's name for it is "eukaryotic LSU rRNA". Lineage: Eukaryota; Fungi; Ascomycota; Eurotiomycetes; Onygenales; Arthrodermataceae. The record is from RNAcentral.